CCUACGGGAGGCUGCAGUAGGGAAUAUUGCUCAAUGGGGGAAACCCUGAAGCAGCAACGCCGCGUGGAGGAUGAAGGUCUUCGGAUCGUAAACCUCUGUCAGCAGGGAAGAACGGUCACUGUGCUAAUCAGCAGUGAAUUGACGGUACCUGCAAAGGAAGCACCGGCUAACUCCGUGCCAGCAGCCGCGGUAAUACGGAGGGUGCGAGCGUUAAUCGGAAUUACUGGGCGUAAAGCGCUCGUAGGCGGUAUGUCAAGUCAAGGGUGAAAUCCCCGCGCUCAACGUGGGAACUGCCUUUGAAACUGGCAAACUGGAGUGUGUGAGAGGAUAGUGGAAUUCCAGGUGUAGGAGUGAAAUCCGUAGAUAUCUGGAGGAACAUCAGUGGCGAAGGCGACUAUCUGGCACAUAACUGACGCUGAGGAGCGAAAGCGUGGGUAGCAAACAGGAUUAGAUACCCGAGUAGUC
This 465-nucleotide ribosomal RNA is filed under the name uncultured bacterium. RNAcentral's name for it is "partial 16S ribosomal RNA". It matches the Rfam family "Bacterial small subunit ribosomal RNA", at positions 338 to 795 of the family's 1533-position model. The record is from RNAcentral.